UUUUUGAAUAGACGGGUUGAUACUGGCUGGGAAACUGAAAUCAGCCAUUACAGUAGUACAUCAAGCCCAGUAAAAACAAAAAGCGGAAGAAGGAAAUACGGUGUAGGAGAAAGUUCUUCAAGUUUUACGCGAGAAUUCAAGGACAGAGAGAAAGAAAAAGGUGUAAACAGGAUAAGGAACCACUCGACGGAUAAACAACAGGAAAAUCCCAAACCUAUAAGGAGAAUAAGCUGGACGGACCAAAAAAGCGGCGACUUAAAAGAGAAGCAAGAACACAGAACAUCAGUUAUUGAGGUUUCAAUGGAAGAAAAAAACAACAUGAAGAAAAUUAAUUCCCAAGAAGAACAAAACUCCAAUACAGAGCAAGAGAUAAACAGGAAUAACGAAGAUAAAGGAAAAAAACAAACAAAGAAAAAACCAGAAACUUACUCAUCAUCCGGGUCAGAUUCACAAGAAAAGUUUAAAUCUGGAGUUAUAAACUGCCUUUGCCGAUAUCAAACAUACGAACCAGACAUGCUCAAAUGCCAAGAAUGUAGAGAAUUCGCGCAUGCCAUCUGCUAUGGGAAAAAAGUAACGGAGAAUUUUAAGUGUGCAGUAUGUUCUAUUAAAAAAGGAGAAAAAACAGGGAACAAGGAAAUUGACGAAUACUACUCCAAACCUCGACGUACUUACAAGGAAAAACAAGAGUUUGUGUUCAAAUUAAACACAAGAAGAGUUUUAAAAUCCAUCCUAAACCAAGAGUUCUUAUGCUGUCAACCCGGAAUCGAACCAUCACCUGAAUUUCUUAAAAUAAGAUUUGGAUUCUCUAGCUCUUAUUCAGCAAAAAUCACGGUAAAACUAAUCAAGAAGGUCUAAUAAACGUCUAUGGAGGAUUUAGUUUUGAUGGUGGUAGAAUAAUUGAUUCAUUAGGACUACACCAAGAUUUAGACGAACCAGAAAUUGAAGAAAUACAAAGAGAAAAAGAAACUGUUGGAUUUGACAUUGGAGGAGAUUUUAAUCAAGAAUCAAAACCUAAAAAAGAUGAAAACAAAGAACAGAGAAAAAGACCAAGAGAGGGUUCACAAACUGGAGACGAGUCUAAUAAAAAAUCUAGAGAGAAUUCAACAACAGGAGAAAAAGAGAAAGUCAUAAAUUCUCAGGAAACAGGAAACAAUACUAGUAAAGAUGUGUUGUCAGACAUCAGUUCUCGAGAAGCUUCCGAAGAAAGAAAUGGACAAGAAAAGGAAUAUGAAAACAGGAAAACAGAAAACUAUUUUUCCUCUUCUUCCUCAUCCCCUUACUACUCACCACCAGAACCAAAAGCCAAGGAUAAACCGAUAGAAAGUAACAUAAAUAAUAGUGAUCCCGAUUCAAUGUUAGGAGACAAAAUCACAAGAGAUAGAAAUGGGAGGAAAUAUAAAAUCAUGCUUUCAUGGCCCGUAAGAUUUACAAACAGUGAGUCAAGAAACAUAUCAAAAGAUAUUCCAGAAAGUGUAGCGCUACUAGGAAAAAGAACCAAACGACCUGUUUACGGACAAGUGGUAGAUAUAAAUGAACCAAGACAAAAUAACGAUCCUAAAAAAUGGAACCUACAUUUUAUUCUUGGAAUGGAAGGAGAAUUGGUUCAAUGCUGGGUGUUCGGAACAGAAGAAGAAAUAAGAGAAAUCGCCAAGAAACUUCAACCCGAAGAAUAUUACUUAUUCUGGGGUGACUUCAAAAUCAAGGAAAAGUACUCGUCUAAGUUUAAAUACACCAAUGAUUGGGCCAUUUACCUUUCUAGUUCAUGCAACAAGUUUGAUAAAAUCAGACGAUCCAGACAAUAUCUUGAUUCAGAAGACUCGAAAUCUGAAGAUCUGGAAAAGUUUGCCGACAAAUUUCAAACUGCUCCAAGGAAAGGAAGCAAAAUUCUUAAGAAGAAAAAAGAGCAUAACGCCAGAAUGAAAGGAAAGCUAGAUCACACACAGAAAAAGAUAACAGAGUACGGAAUCAUAGCAAAUAAAAGUGCCAACGAAAGCAGUACUUCCAAUGAAGAAGAUGCUCUAUUGAUCAACGUCAGCGAUGGAGAAAAAGUAAAUUCAAGUUAAAAGUUCAGUUCAGAAAAAAUCUCUAUCUCGAUAUCCAUUGAUUAUUUACAUCCCUAAAUAAAGUUUGUUAAAAAAGUUCAGUUCAGAAAAAAUCUAUAUCUCGAUAUCCAUUGAUUAUUUACAUCCCCAAAUAAAGUUUGUUAAAAAAGUUUUUUUGGAUUGUACGUUCGUAUACUUAUUAUCAUGUAGUUUAAAAACAUUAAAUGUUUUCUUUCUUUUUUUGGAAAAAACAGGAAAUUUUCAAAAGUUUAAUUAAUCUUGAUUAAACCUAAACUUAUGAAAAACAAAAAAAUCAAAAAAUAUAUAAAAAAUCAAAAAAAAACAAAAUAUUGUAAAAAUACUGUUAUGUUUUAAAAAUUGUUGAGUUAUUUUUUCGUUACAUUUAAAUUCAAGCUGUGCAAAAAUAUAAACAAAUCAAUACUGUUAUGUUUUAAAAUUGAUGAAUUACUUUUCCGUUAAACUUAAAUUCAAGCUGUGAAAAACUGUAAUCAAAUCAAAAACCAUCGAUUUUCUACAUCAUUCUCGUUAAAAACUUUUUAAUAAUUAUAAAUUUGUCAAUAAACUUAUUUUUAUUUUAUGCAAGUGCUGGCUAAAUUUUCAUUUUUUCAUUAAUUCAUUUUUUCAGGAAAAUGCAUCCUAUAUUAAAAUGUAUCUGGACAAUAAUGGCAUCUUUAAACAUGAUUACGCUAGACAUUAGCAAAUCGAUUAAACUAUUGCUGCGGACAAGAACAUGGGAUAUGUAUGUAUUGAUACAGAGGAUCUACUACAGCAGUAUGAAGAUAUCAACGAAAAACAACAUUUUGAAAACUGCAAAUCAAGGAAACCUGAUGGCAUUUAUAGUUUAUUUUAUUUGUAUUCUUAACCAAAACUCCUUAAUUUUAAUAUUAACAAUUAAAUUUUUACAAAAUUUCUACCUUGACAAAGGCUUUAAAUGAUAAUUUCAAUUAUAAGCACUCAGACUCUAGGAUGGCCAUUUUAGGUAAUUAUCAGAGUAACUUCAAGUUCAUACUUAAUCAAAAUAAGCCUGGUAAUAACAAAACUAAGCUAAAAGGUUUUGUUUCGAGACAAUGGAUGGGUCAACCUACCGAACAAUCCAGAGAUGAUUUCAAGGAUGUACAGGAAGUGGAAGUCUUAAGCUACAAAAACUUCCAGAAGAAAUUCUGCGGAGAAGCAUUUUUCGGAAUGUCUUCACUUACAACUCAAUUAAUAGGAAUGCUAAAGAGGGACCACUUCUCGUGUUUUGGUGGGUGGACACAUCUUGGUCAAAGAACAAAACUGGACAGCAAAGUGAAGAAAUAAUAUAAAAUGUGACAUACUUAAGACAAAGUAAAAUGAAGAAAUCAAGAAGGAGUCAUAACGAAAAUUGAUGCUAUAUCUAAAGUUUAAAAAACAAAUUAAUGAGUGUAUUGAUUUGGACAAAAUCAAGAAAAUAAUUCGGGAUUUGCUGUAAAUUUCAAGACUAAGGAAAAAGAGAGUAAUGGGAAUCUAGAAGAUAACUGGGAAAAUAAGUUAAUAUGUGUUUUUAAUAAGAAAUAACUCUGGAAAUAAUUCAAGAUCUAUGCGAGAAAGUUGAAAAAUAAGUGAAAAGAAAAGA
This 3657-nucleotide long non-coding RNA is filed under the name Eurytemora carolleeae. RNAcentral's name for it is "uncharacterized LOC111714623". Lineage: Eukaryota; Metazoa; Arthropoda; Copepoda; Calanoida; Temoridae. The record is from RNAcentral.